Molecule: transfer RNA, 72 nt
Filed under: Diaphorina citri (Asian citrus psyllid)
Lineage: Eukaryota; Metazoa; Arthropoda; Insecta; Hemiptera; Psyllidae
Rfam family: tRNA
About the family: Transfer RNA (tRNA) molecules are approximately 80 nucleotides in length. Their secondary structure includes four short double-helical elements and three loops (D, anti-codon, and T loops).
Source: Rfam by way of RNAcentral
GCCUCGGUGGUGUAGUGGUCAAGGCACUCGCCUGGUAAUUAGGAGGGCGUGGGUUCAAUCCCAACCGAGGCA